Bombyx mori (domestic silkworm) is the source of this 74-nucleotide non-coding RNA. NCBI's taxonomy places the organism in Eukaryota, Metazoa, Arthropoda, Insecta, Lepidoptera, Bombycidae. The record is from Rfam.
UUAACUCAAAUUUGUAUGGAGUUGAAACGUUUGCUGUUAGGGGCGCUGUUCCAACUACAUUCAAAUUUGAGUUA